UUUAUGGAGAGUUUGAUCCUGGCUCAGGAUGAACGCUGGCGGCGUGCCUAAUACAUGCAAGUCGAGCGAACGGACGAGAAGCUUGCUUCUCUGAUGUUAGCGGCGGACGGGUGAGUAACACGUGGAUAACCUACCUAUAAGACUGGGAUAACUUCGGGAAACCGGAGCUAAUACCGGAUAAUAUUUUGAACCGCAUGGUUCAAAAGUGAAAGACGGUCUUGCUGUCACUUAUAGAUGGAUCUGCGCUGCAUUAGCUAGUUGGUAAGGUAACGGCUUACCAAGGCAACGAUGCAUAGCCGACCUGAGAGGGUGAUCGGCCACACUGGAACUGAGACA
RNAcentral lists this ribosomal RNA (336 nucleotides) under Staphylococcus aureus. RNAcentral's name for it is "bacterial SSU rRNA". It matches the Rfam family "Bacterial small subunit ribosomal RNA", at positions 1 to 326 of the family's 1533-position model. The record is from RNAcentral. Lineage: Bacteria; Bacillati; Bacillota; Bacilli; Caryophanales; Staphylococcaceae.